GGAGUUGGCUGCUAGGGUUCCGGCCUUGCGUGAUGCAGGGUGCUGGUCCGAGAGCGGCCGCUUGCGGGGGAGACAUCCUCGCAGGACACGGCGGGACAAAAGCCCGGGAGAC
This 112-nucleotide small RNA is filed under the name Rhodopseudomonas palustris. RNAcentral's name for it is "Guanidine-I sequence". It matches the Rfam family "Guanidine-I riboswitch aptamer". From Rfam's summary of the family: This family represents a conserved RNA structure found upstream of the ykkC and yxkD genes in Bacillus subtilis and related genes in other bacteria. The function of this family is unclear although it has been suggested that it may function to switch on efflux pumps and detoxification systems in response to harmful environmental molecules. Lineage: Bacteria; Pseudomonadati; Pseudomonadota; Alphaproteobacteria; Hyphomicrobiales; Nitrobacteraceae. The record is from RNAcentral. RNAcentral also lists the same sequence under 1 other name.